GUUUAUGGCCGUGGUACCCUGAACAAGCCUGAUCCUGUCUGAUUUCAGAAGUUAAGCAGGGUCAAGCCUGGUUAGUACUUGGAUGGGAAAUCACCUAGGAAGAACAGGUGCGGUAGGCA
Molecule: ribosomal RNA, 119 nt
Filed under: Pteropus vampyrus (large flying fox)
Lineage: Eukaryota; Metazoa; Chordata; Mammalia; Chiroptera; Pteropodidae
Source: RNAcentral